Molecule: ribosomal RNA, 253 nt
Filed under: uncultured bacterium
Lineage: Bacteria
Also listed under: 1 other name
Description: partial 16S ribosomal RNA
Rfam family: Bacterial small subunit ribosomal RNA
Source: RNAcentral
GACGUAGGGUGCAAGCGUUGUCCGGAUUUAUUGGGCGUAAAGAGUUCGUAGGCGGUUUGUUAAGUCUGGUGUUAAAGACUGGGGCUCAACCCCAGCAUGGCAUUGGAUACUGGCAAGCUAGAGUGUGGUAGAGGUCUCGGGAAUUCCAGGUGUAGCGGUGAAAUGCGUAGAUAUCUGGAGGAACACCGGCGGCGAAAGCGCGAGACUGGGCCAUAACUGACGCUGAGGAACGAAAGCCAGGGGAGCGAAAGGG